This is a small nucleolar RNA of Rana temporaria (common frog), 132 nucleotides long. RefSeq annotates it as small nucleolar RNA SNORA17. The record is from RefSeq and is a predicted model, not a curated record. NCBI's taxonomy places the organism in Eukaryota, Metazoa, Chordata, Amphibia, Anura, Ranidae. The transcript has a single exon.
AUUGCCCCUAGAGGCGUUGCAGACAUGGCUAUGGUUUCAUGUCUGUGUCAUUAGGUGGCAUAGAACACUGUGGCUGCGUCUACGCUCAGUGCCAUACUCGUGGGCACUCAGAAUGAUUACCAGCCAGACAUC